GAUGAACGCUGGCGGCGUGCUUAACACAUGCAAGUCGAACGAGAAGUGAAGACGGAAACCUUCGGGCGGAAGGCUUUAUUUCGAGUGGCGGACGGGUGAGUAACGCGUGGGUAACCUGCCUCAUACAGGGGGAUAACAGUUGGAAACGACUGUUAAUACCGCAUAAGGCCACAGCACCGCAUGGUGCGGGGGUAAAAACUCCGGUGGUAUGAGAUGGACCCGCGUUCGAUUAGCCAGUUGGCGGGGUAACGGCCCACCAAAGCGACGAUCGAUAGCCGAUCUGAGAGGAUGACCGGCCACAUUGGGACUGAGACACGGCCCAAACUCCUACGGGAGGCAGCAGUGGGGAAUAUUGCACAAUGGGGGAAGCCCUGAUGCAGCGACGCCGCGUGAGUGAAGAAGUAUUUCGGUAUGUAAAGCUCUAUCAGCAGGGAAGAAAAUGACGGUACCUGAGUAAGAAGCCCCGGCUAACUACGUG
RNAcentral lists this ribosomal RNA (478 nucleotides) under uncultured bacterium. RNAcentral's name for it is "partial 16S ribosomal RNA". It matches the Rfam family "Bacterial small subunit ribosomal RNA", at positions 28 to 507 of the family's 1533-position model. The record is from RNAcentral.